Small nuclear RNA from Mesocricetus auratus (golden hamster), 107 nucleotides. Lineage: Eukaryota; Metazoa; Chordata; Mammalia; Rodentia; Cricetidae. The record is from Ensembl.
GUGCUCGCUUUGGCAGCACAUAUACUAAAACUGGAACGAUACAGAGAAGAUCAGCAUGACCCCUGCGCAAGGAUGACAUGUAAAUAAAUAAAUAAAUGAAAAUGCAU